Long non-coding RNA from Mytilus californianus (California mussel), 391 nucleotides. RefSeq lists it as uncharacterized. The transcript has 3 exons. The record is from RefSeq and is a predicted model, not a curated record. NCBI's taxonomy places the organism in Eukaryota, Metazoa, Mollusca, Bivalvia, Mytilida, Mytilidae.
CAAUGUGGGAGUGAUAUAAAAUGGUAAGGACGACCAAAUUAUUCAUAAAGAUGAAGAUCUUCGCACUCAUUCUUACGUUAUCCUUUAUAUUUAGUCAAGCAAUAGCCGAUCCUGAAUGCUUUGUAGAAUGUAAACAGAUAUGCGCCAUAUCAAAAACCCAGGCAGCACUGCUUUGUCCUAGGUGUAAAUGCUGUCCACAGAUAACAUGUAGAUACUGUAUGUUUGGAUACGUACUAGCUAGAGACAGCACUGGAUGUAGAAGCUGUAGAUGUAAAUGGCCAAUGUAAACAACCAAAGAAACCCAAAUAUACACCUUCUUGGUGCCACAUUAAUAAGUGAUUAUUUUUGUUAUUGUUUAUUGGAUCAUUAAGAAUAAAUCUAGAUUUUUAUA